AGUUAAUUAGGUAUUAAUAGACAAUGCCUUAUGUUAUACUUUGUCUAUUUCAAAUUAUGUUGAUAUAAAUUUAUGAGUAAUAAGUAGUGACUGUUUUGCAAUUAUUUUAUUUUGCGAGGAUGAAGGGAUGAAUGCUUAUUGACUAUCAGGUUCAACUUCAAGCUCAAGUUAAUUAGGUAUUAUUAGUUAAUAUCUUAUGUUGUACUUUGUUUAUUUCAAAUUAUGCUUAUUUGAAUUUUUUAGUAAUGAGUGAGUAGUGAUUGUUUUAAAUUUUUUUUGUUGCGAUGAUAUGGUAUGACGCUAAAUACUCCCAAAUACAUAUCUCCACACUUUUUAAUAUUGAGGUACGUAACAAUUGUUUUAAAUCUUAUGCAUUUAUCAUGGGCGUUAUUACCUUGAGUUUGAAGUUCCCCGGGUUUAACGUCAGCUCAAGUUAUUAGGUAUUAUCGACAAUGCCUUAUUGUUUAUACUAUAACUUUGUUCUAUUUUUUAAGCUCAAGUUAAGUAGGUAUUCAUGCUCAUGUUAUACUUAUUAGACAAAUUAUAAUUUUUAAAAAAUCAAGGGAUCAAAAUAUAAAUUUUUAAAGUUUAUGAGACAACACUUCAAUGCUGGCAUAAAUAUCCGGAUAGAAUAUAAACCUUGGAAGGACUAAAUUAAAAAAAUUAAGAAAUGUGCGGUACGAAUGUGUAAUUAUUAAAAAAAUAAAUAUUGGGAGGACUAAAUUUAAAAAAAUUAGGAAGAAUAGGGACCAAAGUUUAAUCUGAGAAACUUUAGGGGCAAAGUAUAAGUAUCAAAAAGUUCAGGGACCAAACUGUAAUUUUUGAAAAUUUCUGGAAUAAAACUGAAAUCGUCGCGUAUAUAUAUGGAAAGAAAGAAAACAUUGGGAGAACAUAAUUGAAAAAAUUCAUAAAAGCCGGGGACCAACAUGUAAUUUCCAAAAAUUUAAACAUUCGUUGACUAAAUUAAAAAAAUUCUGGAAGACCAGGGACCAAGGAAUAAUUUUAAAAAAUUUAUCGGGCAAAUUUUAAAUAUCAAAAAGUUCAGGGACUAAACAUUAAUUGUUAAAAACUUAUGUGACAAAACUUCAAUCAUCGCAUAUAUAUCCGAAUAGAAAGAAAAUAUUGGGGGGCCAAAAUUAAAAAGUUCAGAAAGGAUAGGGACCCAAGUGUAGUUUUAAAACUUUAGGUGAUAUUUAUAGUUUGUCCGAUAAAGUUCUUAAAAUUAUACUUUGGUCCAUGGCAUUUCUGAAUUUUUUAAAUUUAAUUCCCUAAAAUUUUAAGUUUUUAAAAAUUACAGUUUUAUUCCUGAAAUUUUUGAUAUUUAUAAUUUGGCCUUAAAGUUUUUAAAACUGCAGUUGGUCCCUAGCUUUUCUGACUUUUUAAUUUUGGCCCGCUAAGGUUUUCUUUCGAUUCGGAUAUAUAUGCGAG
RNAcentral lists this long non-coding RNA (1428 nucleotides) under Actinidia chinensis (golden kiwifruit). Its description in RNAcentral is "long non-coding RNA (ACHI_LNC003342)". Lineage: Eukaryota; Viridiplantae; Streptophyta; Magnoliopsida; Ericales; Actinidiaceae. The record is from RNAcentral.